RNAcentral lists this ribosomal RNA (492 nucleotides) under uncultured bacterium. RNAcentral's name for it is "partial 16S ribosomal RNA". It matches the Rfam family "Bacterial small subunit ribosomal RNA", at positions 29 to 507 of the family's 1533-position model. The record is from RNAcentral.
AGUGAACGCUGGCGGUAGGCCUAACACAUGCAAGUCGAACGGCAGCACAGUAAGAGCUUGCUCUUACGGGUGGCGAGUGGCGGACGGGUGAGGAAUACAUCGGAAUCUACUUUUUCGUGGGGGACAACGUAGGGAAACUUACGCUAAUACCGCAUACGACCUACGGGUGAAAGCAGGGGAUCUUGUGAACUUGCGGGAUUGAAUGAGCCGAUGUCGGAUUAGCUAGUUGGCGGGGUAAAGGCCCACCAAGGCGACGAUCCGUAGCUGGUCUGAGAGGAUGAUCAGCCACACUGGAACUGAGACACGGUCCAGACUCCUACGGGAGGCAGCAGUGGGGAAUAUUGGACAAUGGGCGCAAGCCUGAUCCAGCCAUACCGCGUGGGUGAAGAAGGCCUUCGGGUUGUAAAGCCCUUUUGUUGGGAAAGAAAAGCAGCAGGUUAAUCCCCCGCUGUUCUGACGGUACCCAAAGAAUAAGCACCGGCUAACUUCGUG